CGCCGUGGUCCGCGUUUAUUACUAUAGUGGCGGUUGGAGCUGUGGUGCGGCCGCUCGCUGAGCUCUCGUCCUCCGGGUGCUGCUACCCGCUAGCAGCGAAGCGCUCUCAAGGGGUGAGGGAGGGCUCCCGGCUUAGGGGAACUGUGUUUCUGCCAUCGUGUGAGCGCGGCUGGCUCGGAGCCUGAGGACUGAAGUGCAGUGAAAGAAGAUCCUAUAAGAAAAGACUCUGGAGAUGGAGCACAAAAGUUCUGCAGCUCUAGUAAUGUAGAGAUGUGCUGAUAUAGCCCUGCUGCUCCUAG
RNAcentral lists this long non-coding RNA (299 nucleotides) under Gallus gallus (chicken). Lineage: Eukaryota; Metazoa; Chordata; Aves; Galliformes; Phasianidae. The record is from RNAcentral.